Molecule: non-coding RNA, 432 nt
Organism: Arachis ipaensis
Lineage: Eukaryota; Viridiplantae; Streptophyta; Magnoliopsida; Fabales; Fabaceae
Source: RefSeq, a predicted model, not a curated record
UUAAUAAUUUGGAGGAGUAUAUAUCUUUAGUGGUUGAUGCAACUGUCAAGAUUGGGAUCACACGUCAAAUGGAAGCAUUUAAAGCAGGAUUCAACUAGCUUUCGUCAACUGUAGCCAAUGCUUCGUCUAAUGGGAAUGGGCCUUCGGAAUCAGCAGAUAAUGACUUGCCAAGUGUGAUGACAUGUGCUAAUUACCUGAAGCUUCCUCCUUAUUCUACCAAGGAAAUUAUGUCCAACAAGCUACUCUAUGCAAUCAAUGAGGGGGCAGGAAUCCUUUGAUUUAUCAUGAAUCUCAGGAACUAACCAAGCUGUCCCUAAAUGUUAAUAUGAUGAAUCAGGGCUUUUGAGGCUGAAUUAAUUUUUGGUUGCAUGUACUUCCCCUCUUCUCAUCUCAAAUAAUGGCAGCUGAAUCGGAUUGGUACAUUUUCAAGGU